GAACGCACAUUGCGCCCUUUGGUAUUCCGAAGGGCAUGCCUGUUCGAGCGUCAUUAUCACCCCUCAAGCCCCCGGCUUGGUGUUGGACGGUCGGUAGGACGUAUUACUACGUCCCACCCCUCCCAAAGACAAUGACGGCGGCCUCGUUGGACCCCCGGUACACUGAGUUCUUCACGGAGCACGUACUGGACAAGGGCUCGCGGGGCACGGUCUGCCUCCCCUUAGGGAGAAUUUUUAACAAGGUUGACCUCGGAUCAGGUAGGAAUACCCGCUGAACUUAAG
RNAcentral lists this unclassified non-coding RNA (282 nucleotides) under uncultured fungus. RNAcentral describes it as "sequence contains 5.8S rRNA gene". The stretch from base 1 to 53 matches the Rfam family "5.8S ribosomal RNA", at positions 102 to 154 of the family's 154-position model. Lineage: Eukaryota; Fungi. The record is from RNAcentral.